This 644-nucleotide unclassified non-coding RNA is filed under the name Allium ursinum subsp. ucrainicum. RNAcentral's name for it is "sequence contains ITS1, 5.8S rRNA gene and ITS2". The stretch from base 245 to 400 matches the Rfam family "5.8S ribosomal RNA". The record is from RNAcentral. Lineage: Eukaryota; Viridiplantae; Streptophyta; Magnoliopsida; Asparagales; Amaryllidaceae. RNAcentral also lists the same sequence under 1 other name.
UCAUAUCCCUUUCAAGAGAUUGAUGACACGUGGCAUUAACCAUCGAGAACAAACCAGUUUUGCAUGUGCAAUUUAGCUUUCUAGAUGGAAGUCCUUUUGCCGCAUCCAACCUGUUUUAUUUUAAGCAAGAAGGAGAGCGGGAAUAAGACCUCGGCGUGGUUUGCGCCAAGGAAGGUUGUUGGUGGAGUCGACCGCCUACUUUAUGUGGCGCGGUGUAUCCUCCUAUUAGUGUGAGAAUAUGCAUGACUCUUGGCAAUGGAUAUCUAGGCUCUUGCGUCGAUGAAGAACGUAGCAAAAUGCGAUACUUGGUGUGAAUUGCAGAAUCCCGUGAACCAUCGAGUCUUUGAACGCAAGUUGCGCCCGAGACCAUCAGGUCAAGGGCACGUCUGCUUGGGCGUCACGCCUUUGUCACUCCAAACACGUGUAAACCAUUACGUGCGUAUUGGUGUGUGUAGAUGUGGAUAUUGACCCUUUGUGCUUUCGUUGUGCGGCGGGUUUGAGUGAUGGUCGUUGCUAUGUUUUGCAUGCGACGAAAGGUGGAUAGAUUGUGCGCAUCAAGCCUCCAGUUGUGCAUAAGACCCCUAGCCACGACUUACAAGAAGUAAAACCGAUGACGAUGUUUGCACAUUUUGCAGGCUCGGACC